This 1063-nucleotide unclassified non-coding RNA is filed under the name uncultured fungus. RNAcentral's name for it is "sequence contains 18S rRNA gene, ITS1, 5.8S rRNA gene, ITS2, 28S rRNA gene". The stretch from base 168 to 1063 matches the Rfam family "Eukaryotic large subunit ribosomal RNA", at positions 1 to 961 of the family's 3401-position model. The record is from RNAcentral. Lineage: Eukaryota; Fungi.
AUUUCCUUAUUUUACUGACUUUGUUAUCAUAGUUAAGUAAGAGAAAGGGUUAAGAGCUCUCAUUGUAAGAUGUUAGCUGUCUAAUUGAUCUCUCCGAUGAAUUGAUUUCACAUACAGUGACGUAAAGUGAAUGUUAAUUUGUUAGGAAGGAUGAAUUCUGAUUUCUAUGAUUCGAGCUCAAGUAAGGUUACCCGCUGAAUUUAAGCAUAUAAUUAGGCGGAGGAAAAGAAACCAACAGGGAUUCCCUUAGUAGCGGCGAGCGAAAUGGGAUCAGCCCAAGGUGUGAAUCUGAGUUGCUUGCAGCUCGGAGUUGUACAUCAGGGCCUCGGCCGCAAUAGAUUGCUCGCUAAGACGCCUGGAAAGGCGUGCCACAGAAGGUGAUAGCCCUGUCUCUGCGAUUACAAUCAUUUGCUAGGUCUUGGUCUAAUGAGUCACGCUCUUUGGGAGUAGAGCGCAAAUAGGGUGGUAACCUCCAUCCACGGCUAAAUAUUGACGAGAGAUCGAUAGCAAACAAGUACCGUGAGGGAAAGUUGAAAAGGACUUCGAAAGGAGAGUUAAAAUACCUGAAAUCGCCAAGGGGGAAGCGACUGUCCGUGACCCAAGUGAAGUUGGUUGCAAAGGUUUCGAUCUUUGAUGACUGAUCAACAACUCGACAUCACUUCUCAACUGUUUGACACUUUUUGAACUUGUUUCUGUAAAGCUGUUCUUUCAGUGCAGGAGUGACGCGAACCGGCUUGCCGUAAGUUGUCGAGAGUGGCACGUAUAGACGACCCGUCUUGAAACACGGACCAAGGAGUUAAACAGGUGUGCAAGUGUAAGAGUGUUAAACUCAUACGCGCAGUGAAAGCGAAAGCUGUGAAUAUCAAUGCAACAGCGGCCGACUCUUGAAGUUCGAGCUUGAGCAUAUUUGUUUAGACCCGAAAGAUGGUGACCUAUACCUGAGUUGGGUGAAGCCAGGGGAAACCCUGGUGGAAGCUCGUAGCGAUACUGACGUGCAAAUCGUUCGUCAAACUUGGGCAUAGGGGCGAAAGACUAAUCGAACCAUCUAGUAGCUGGUUCCCUC